Drosophila obscura is the source of this 541-nucleotide long non-coding RNA. RefSeq lists it as uncharacterized. Lineage: Eukaryota; Metazoa; Arthropoda; Insecta; Diptera; Drosophilidae. The transcript is spliced from 4 exons. The record is from RefSeq and is a predicted model, not a curated record.
UUCAAUAACGUGCAUUAAAAACGGCUUGUUCGCAAAUGUAUUUUGAGUUUAAAUAGAGCGCAACAGAAAAUGAUGUGGGGCCUGCGUCAACGUGAUGCUAACAAAGAGAAUGCCUAUAAGGAUGCCGCCUGUCAUCGCUGCGGCGAUUCUGGUGCUGAUGCCGGUAAAGAAGAAACUCGGAUUCUGAGGAAGUAAAAGAGCCCAAACACUUCGAUGCUGAUAGUGAUAUAAGUCUAUCCACGAAGCGCAAUCGCGGAGCAAUAUCUGGCAAGCCCGGCAGUAGAUACCUUGGCUGGACGGGGACGUGGAGCAGCUGCGCGAAACGCAAAGUUUCCAACAGCGAUGAGGAUGAUGACAUUUCCGAAGAUGAGAAGUGGAGAAGAGGAACUGUCGGAAUUUGGCAGCGACCAAAGUGAGGAUGUACGCCCCAAAAAGAGUAGGAAGCCCACAAGGCCUGCGAGUAAUAGCAAAGCUAAUAAAAAGUCAUCACCAGUUGGAGAGGCGAAUGGUCGACCGACAAAAUAUAAAAAAAGAACCAUCC